This 87-nucleotide transfer RNA is filed under the name Dehalococcoidia bacterium. RNAcentral's name for it is "tRNA-Leu". It matches the Rfam family "tRNA". Rfam says of the family: Transfer RNA (tRNA) molecules are approximately 80 nucleotides in length. Their secondary structure includes four short double-helical elements and three loops (D, anti-codon, and T loops). Lineage: Bacteria; Bacillati; Chloroflexota; Dehalococcoidia. The record is from RNAcentral.
GCCGAAGUGGCGGAAAGGCAGACGCGCUACGUUCAGGGCGUAGUGCCCCUUGCGGGCGUGUGAGUUCAAAUCUCACCUUCGGCACCA